GUGAAUCAUCAAAUUUUUGAACGCAUAUUGCACUCUCUGGUAUUCCGGAGAGUAUGCCUGUUUGAGGGUAAUUAAAAAGAAUCUUUAACCAAUUUUUUUUGUUCAAAUGAAAUGAGCUCUCCUCGUUUAUAGCGGUAGAUUUAAAUAAAUGGUCAAAUGUCAUUUUAGUCGAUACCCGUACUAAUAUUAUUUCGCGAAAUCUUCAUUAUGUUACUAACAAAUUUUCAUGCAUACAAAUUAACUUAG
RNAcentral lists this unclassified non-coding RNA (246 nucleotides) under Glomeromycota sp. RNAcentral describes it as "partial contains 5.8S ribosomal RNA and internal transcribed spacer 2". The stretch from base 1 to 71 matches the Rfam family "5.8S ribosomal RNA", at positions 84 to 154 of the family's 154-position model. Lineage: Eukaryota; Fungi; Glomeromycota. The record is from RNAcentral.